AGCCCUGGGGUGUUGGCACGUCAGAUUGCAAACCUGAAGGAGCGGGCUUACCGCCUGCCGGGGCUU
This 66-nucleotide transfer RNA is filed under the name Hisonotus thayeri. RNAcentral's name for it is "tRNA-Cys". The record is from RNAcentral. Lineage: Eukaryota; Metazoa; Chordata; Actinopteri; Siluriformes; Loricariidae.